Molecule: long non-coding RNA, 2979 nt
Organism: Lytechinus pictus (painted urchin)
Lineage: Eukaryota; Metazoa; Echinodermata; Echinoidea; Temnopleuroida; Toxopneustidae
Exons: 2
Source: RefSeq, a predicted model, not a curated record
UACGUAAUAGAUCUCACCACUGAUUGGUCAGUUUUAAUUGUCUCUGAUUAAGCCGCACCCAUCAGAAAAACUCUCGACCAAUCACGACUGGAAGGAGGGUUCAUGGUAUUGAUUGAAAUAGAUUACUGGGAGUAUAUGAACUCAAAUAAAUAGGGGCUAAUAAUUAAACCUGAAUAUCAUUCAGACAUCUGACAGCUAUUCGAAGAACACAUAUUUACUUUUUCGACACAAUUUCAUAUUGACGAAGACAUCGCUUUUACUCGUUACUUUUUAAAGUAGUGUGAAGUUGCGGUUGGAACAAUAUCACCAUAAGGAUUGGAAGCGUUAAUAAUGUCGACUCAACUCCUCUCCACUCGACCCACCCGCUCUCCGAUGGCUGGGAAUGCUAACUCACCGGUCCCCAUCGAGGUACGCAAGCCCGAUUUCAACAAGGCCAUCGCUUCGGUCAUCUGGCUUCGACAUCAUCGACAACCAACCUCCCGGGUCUUUAACUGCCUUGUCUCGAACUGUCCUCUCUGUCCGGCCUCGAGUUUAACUAAAAGAUCCUUUUCAGCGAAACUUAGGAGCGUACCACAGCCACGAUGGAGGUCGACAUCUGAAAUUAAUCAACCAAAGGUCGUCAACUGGCUGAUACCGUCAUCGACACCCUCGUCGAGCUCCAUGUCCCAUCGAAAGAGGCCAUCAUCAUGGACAUCAUCCCCGCCGAAGAAGCGUCACGCCCGCUCACCUCCGUCUUCUCUCGAUCACCGCCCCGUCACUCCAGAAAGUCUCCGCUUCUGCUGUCCAUUCUGCCCGAUGUCGUUUGUCAAGAAGGACGAUUUUACCAUCCAUCGUCGGUUUCAUCUGGGAACUGAUGUCUACUACUGUCAAUAUUGCCAGAAGCCCUUCGACAGUCCUACUCGGUUGGUCAAACAUCGUCGCGUUCACACCCUAGGGCAGCCGUUUCGAUGUCCGUUCAAAGGAUGCCCUUCAGAGUUCACACAACAAAGAAGCCUGGAUAGACACAUCAGUCAGCAUCACCAGAACGAAUGAAUGACAGCGUAGAUCUUCCCAAAGAACUUUAUCAGAACUCUAAAAGCUUCCAUCUCGUUGAAGUGUACUGUAUUGUGCAAAAAGACAAAUUUGCUUGUAAGAAUGAAGCUAGGAUAUACUUAAAACUUUGGACUUCCCAUUGAAAACAACAACAAGCAACUUUUAGUGGCCGAUCGGGAAAAUGUGCAAAGCUGGAUCCGCCCCUCGUUAAAAGGUAACUUCAUAGCUUUUUCUGAACAAAAUUGUACAGAUUUGCACAAAAAUAUAUCUCGCUCCUGGGUGGGCUUGAACCACCAACCUUUCGGUUAACAGUCGAACGUGCUAACCAAUUGCGCCACAGAAGCUUCGGUACGGAAAAACUGCAGUUAAUUGUCUUUCAAAUGCAAGUUCUUUCGAAUCAUAAUUUUUACGAUGACAACUUCACAUCUCCAACAAAUUAUUGAUUUGAAAUAAACUUGUUUUAUGAAUAUAUGAAUACAUUCUAUUAAUCCGCGAAUAUAUUCAUGAUAAACAUUUAAAUGAGUGUUAUGUUUGAAGACAAAAUUUCCUAAAGAAAUACCUGAUAUUUUGGGGCAAACUACAGUAUAUAAAGCAGUAAUAUAUUUAAUUCGAUCUACUGUCUGUAUAGUGUAUAAGGUGGGUUAUCAUUCUUAGGAAUGUGAUGGACUCAAAUAUGCAUGAAUGGAAAUUCUCAUUUCAUUUGCGAGGUCUUUUCAUUGUAAAAUCAUCUGCCAAUUAGUUACGUAAUUAUAAUUAUUUCUAUUCAAUAGUGUUUAUCAAGAAGGUAGACCUAACUAUUGUUUGACGCUGUGAGAGGGGAGGAGACAAAGACCGCGUUACGUAAUAGACCUCCUCACCGAUUGGUCGGUUUAAUUAUCCCUAAUCAUGCCGCACCCAUUAGAUAAACUCUCGACCAAUCACAACUCAUAGAAGGGUUCUACGGAAAUGAUUAAAAUAUAUUACUGGGUGUAAACGCAAACUUUCUCCUCUCUCUAAUUUCGCUGUAGUCCAUCCAAGCAGAAAUUAAACAGCACAAAAUGCACAAGAUUUAUAUUUAUGAGGAGUGAGAGAAGAAGAGAGGGGAGGAAGCAGGCUGAUGAGCGAUAUGUGCAUUUAAUACCCAGAAGAAAAAUGAUACAGAAAGAAAGUAAAAUGAUAAUAAAGUAAAUAAAGACAGGGUGAUGACAGGAGUUUUGCUUUCAAAACUGUCUUAAUGAACUAUAGGGGUGUCCAUUAAAUAUCAUGAAAUGAUUUCUUACAGUUUAUUUAACUCCCCUUUAUUAUACCCCCUCUUUUCCAUUUAUUAUUGUUUAUAAACUUUCCCUUUAGUGGCAUUUUGAUUUGAAUAGUUCAAUACGUUGUUACAGUUCUAGAAAGAUCCAUGGUUAAAAUGGAAAUUUUAUCUAAUAUUCUGUUUACAAUAUAGGUAUAAAUAAUGUUAUAGGCCUAUAUCAAUCAGGUAUGAAAAUUGUAACUUUAGUCUCAAACAAAUUAUGUCAUAGGCCAAUAAACAUAUGAUUAUUCAUGGAACUUUACAAUUAUCUUUUAAAGAGAAUUGUAAAUAUCUCUGAAAGAUAAAGCUUAAAAAUAUAGAAAUGUAUAUUAAAUUACGGGCAUACAACUAUGUCCCUUUCCCUAGCUCUGCGUGUCAAAUCCAAACUUUAUUCGUUAUUUCAACAAGUUACCAAUUCAUAAGCACAUAAGAGACCAACAACAGUAUGAAUAUAAAACAUCAAUACAGGUUUAUAAUAUAAUACAGAGUAAAAACGAACGAAAUUAAAGCUAUAUAAAAAGCAGUAAGCCAAGAGCCCGAAGGCAAAUGCAAAGAUAAGCACACGACACUAACAAUAUCUAAAUUACUUUUGUAACAAUUAUGUUGCUUGACUUUAUGAAUCACCUCGAUAUAGGAGGCCCAUAAUAUAAUAUAGAAAAAUAGUUUAAUCAAAA